UGAAACGAUUGGCGGGGACCCGCACAAGCGAAGGGAUGAUGUGGUUUAAUUCGAUGCAACGCGAAAAACCUUACGCACCUUUGACAUGUACGGAAUCCUUUUGAGAUAGAGGAGUGCUCGAAAGUUAGCCGUAACACACGUGCUGCAUGGCUGUCGUCAGCUCGUGUCGUGAGAUGUUGGGUUAAGUCCCGCAACGAGCGCAACCCUUGCCAUUAGUUGCUACGAAAGGGCACUCUAAUGGGACUGCCGGUCACAAACCGGAGGAAGGUGGGGAUGACGUCAAGUCCUCAUGGCCCUUAUAGGUGGGGCUACACACGUCAUACAAUGGCUGGUACAGAGGGUUGCCAACCCGCGAGGGGGAGCUAAUCCCAUAAAGCCAGUCGUAGUCCGGAUCGCAGUCUGCAACUCGACUGCGUGAAGUCGGAAUCGCUAGUAAUCGCGCAUCAGAAUGUCGCGGUGAAUACGUUCCCGGGUCUUGUACACACCGCCCGUCACACCAUGGGGAGCGGGUUCUGCCAGAAGUAAGUAGCCUAACCGGUAACGGAGGGCGCUUUACCACGGCAGGGUUCGUGACUGGGGUGAAGUC
This 586-nucleotide ribosomal RNA is filed under the name uncultured Acidovorax sp. RNAcentral's name for it is "bacterial SSU rRNA". It matches the Rfam family "Bacterial small subunit ribosomal RNA", at positions 902 to 1487 of the family's 1533-position model. The record is from RNAcentral. Lineage: Bacteria; Pseudomonadati; Pseudomonadota; Betaproteobacteria; Burkholderiales; Comamonadaceae.